AUAUAUAAUUUCUGUAUGUCUGGGAAACAAAUCCCCCCUUCUUUCCAGUCUCUCUGUAAAAUUUCCAAAGACACUCUAGGUCUCCUCUCUUGCCAAAUAUAAUUUGAUACUUGCCUUUGAAGACCACGUAUCGUCUGGCAUGACACCCUCAGUGGGAGGUUACCAAAUAAAAAUGUCAACUUGGGGAGGAGAUAGAAGUUUACUGCUUCAAUCCUUCCCAACCAAGAGAGUUCUAAUCCCU
Pelobates cultripes (western spadefoot toad) is the source of this 241-nucleotide non-coding RNA. NCBI's taxonomy places the organism in Eukaryota, Metazoa, Chordata, Amphibia, Anura, Pelobatidae. The record is from the annotation of a GenBank genome assembly.